Molecule: ribosomal RNA, 651 nt
Filed under: uncultured Bacteroides sp.
Lineage: Bacteria; Pseudomonadati; Bacteroidota; Bacteroidia; Bacteroidales; Bacteroidaceae
Description: bacterial SSU rRNA
Rfam family: Bacterial small subunit ribosomal RNA
Source: RNAcentral
AGCAUUGGAGUAGCAUACUUCAGAUGGCGACCGGCGCACGGGUGAGUAACACGUAUCCAACCUGCCGCUUACUCGGGGAUAGCCUUUCGAAAGAAAGAUUAAUACCCGAUGGUAUAAAGAGUUCGCAUGUUCUCUUUAUUAAAGAAUUUCGGUAAGCGAUGGGGAUGCGUUCCAUUAGAUCGUUGGCGGGGUAACGGCCCACCAAGUCUACGAUGGAUAGGGGUUCUGAGAGGAAGGUCCCCCACAUUGGAACUGAGACACGGUCCAAACUCCUACGGGAGGCAGCAGUGAGGAAUAUUGGUCAAUGGACGAGAGUCUGAACCAGCCAAGUAGCGUGAAGGAUGACUGCCCUAUGGGUUGUAAACUUCUUUUAUAAGGGAAUAAAGUGAGGGACGUGUCCCUUUUUGUAUGUACCUUAUGAAUAAGGAUCGGCUAACUCCGUGCCAGCAGCCGCGGUAAUACGGAGGAUCCAAGCGUUAUCCGGAUUUAUUGGGUUUAAAGGGAGCGUAGGUUGACAUAUAAGUCAGCUGUGAAAGUUUACGGCUCAACCGUGAAAUUGCAGUUGAUACUGUAUGUCUUGAGUGUACAAGAGGUGGGCGGAAUUCGUGGUGUAGCGGUGAAAUGCUUAGAUAUCACGAAGAACUCCGAUUG